This 774-nucleotide ribosomal RNA is filed under the name uncultured Neocallimastigales. RNAcentral's name for it is "partial large subunit ribosomal RNA". It matches the Rfam family "Eukaryotic large subunit ribosomal RNA", at positions 23 to 642 of the family's 3401-position model. Lineage: Eukaryota; Fungi; Neocallimastigomycota; Neocallimastigomycetes; Neocallimastigales. The record is from RNAcentral.
AGAGAUGUGUGAUGACGCAUAUCAAUAAGCGGAGGAAAAGAAACUAACAAGGAUUCCCUUAGUAACGGCGAGUGAAGCGGGAAGAGCUCAAAUUUGAAAUCUUCAAGGUUCUACCUUGACGAAUUGUAGUUUAUAAGAAGUGUUAUCUGUUAGUAGAGUGGCAAAAGUUCUUUGGAAUAGGACAUCAUAGAGGGUGAGAAUCCCGUAUUUGGUCAUUCUUUCUAGCUUUGUGAUACACUUUCAACGAGUCGGAUUGUUUGGGAAUGCAGUCCAAAAUGGGUGGUAAAUUUCAUCUAAAGCUAAAUAUUGGCGAGAGACCGAUCAGCGAACAAGUACCGUGAGGGAAAGAUGAAAAGAACUUUGAAAAGAGAGUUAAACAGUCCGUGAAAUUGUCAAAAGGGAAGCGUUUGACACCAGUGUUGUUUUUCCGAAAAUCAAUUACGAAUGUUUUAUUUUUGAGGAGUUAUGACUUCAUCGGCUUGCUUCUCUCUUUACGAAACUUUCUUAAUGCACUUUUCGGUUAACAAGUCAACAUCAAUUUCUUUUGUUGUAAAAGAGUAUGAGGAAGGUGGCUUUCUUUUCGGAGAAAGUGUUUAUAGCCUUUACCUCUGCAAUCGGAGAGAUUGAGGUCUGCAGCGUAGAUCCUUCGGGGUUAGAUACAUUUGUGCUAAGUUAUAGCUUUUCAUAGACAACUUGUUGACUAUGUUAAGUCUUGUAGCUUACUCGCUUAUGCUAUUUUACCUACGCUUAGGAUGUUGACGAUAGCUGAGCGCG